UUGACCUCGGAUCAGGUAGGGAUACCCGCUGAACUUAAGCAUAUCAAUAAGCGGAGGAAAAGAAACCAACAGGGAUUGCCUUAGUAACGGCGAGUGAAGCGGCAAUAGCUCAAAUUUGAAAGCUGGCGUCUUCGACGUCCGCGUUGUAAUUUGUAGAGGAUGCUUCGGCGAAGACACCUGCCUAAGUCCCCUGGAACGGGGCGUCACAGAGGGUGAGAAUCCCGUAUGUGGCGGGCCGUCUAAGCCAUGUGAAGCUCCUUCGACGAGUCGAGUUGUUUGGGAAUGCAGCUCUAAAUGGGAGGUAAAUUUCUUCUAAAGCUAAAUAUUGGCCAGAGACCGAUAGCGCACAAGUAGAGUGAUCGAAAGAUGAAAAGCACUUUGGAAAGAGAGUUAAAAAGUACGUGAAAUUGUUGAAAGGGAAGCGCUUGCAACCAGACUCGCUCGCAGUUGCUCAGCCGGCCUCUUGGCCGGUGUACUCUUCUGCGAUCGGGCCAGCAUCAGUUCGGGCGGCCGGAUAAAGGUGUCGGGAAUGUAGCACCCUUCGGGGUGUGUUAUAGCCCGGCGCGGAAUGCGGCCAGCCUGGACUGAGGAUCUCGCUUCGGCAAGGAUGCUGGCGUAAUGGUUGUAAGCGGCCCGUCU
RNAcentral lists this ribosomal RNA (639 nucleotides) under Phyllosticta cordylinophila. RNAcentral's name for it is "eukaryotic LSU rRNA". It matches the Rfam family "Eukaryotic large subunit ribosomal RNA", at positions 1 to 654 of the family's 3401-position model. The record is from RNAcentral. Lineage: Eukaryota; Fungi; Ascomycota; Dothideomycetes; Botryosphaeriales; Phyllostictaceae.